AAAGGAGCAAGGGACAGCCUCAGAGAGGGUGCCGCGACUAAACCGGCGCUCAGGCUUACUCUCCUCCUUCCCCAGACUGUCGAAGAGGUCUGCCGAGUGGGGCUUCUGGGCUCCUGUUUACCAGAUCAAGGACACUGGCAGAAGAGACAAGAGGCAACCAUAUGGUUUUGGCCAUGUAAGUGCUGAAGCUUGCUUGCCACCCAGAAAGCCAUGUGCCCUGCCUGGUAUGGGUUAUAUCUGACCAGAGAGGAUCUGUUUUCACGGACACAAGACCCCUUACGAGCCAAUAGUGGAUGACGGCUUUCUCCCACCAUUGUUCACCUUUCCUACCCGAGCACCAGAGGACAUUGCCAGCUUACACUCCUUGUAGCAGCUGCUUCCUCUGUGGAGGAGUGGAGCCCACUUGCUUCUUCUGGGAGGGCUUAUAUUCCUGCCGGGGAGGUGCACGUUUCUCCCACCAUCUGGACAUCACCCAGCCCAGGAGCACAUCUGGGAACACCCCCCUUCACAGAGAACAAUAGGAUGUGCCGUGGGCAUGUAAUUGGUCCAACCACAGCAGGUGUCAAGGUGGCGAUGCUGCCCAGGUGCGCAGGCUCCAUGAUGUGUGAAGCACCCAGCUGCCAACCUGCUUCGAGGGGAGAAAUGUGAAAACCACUGGGCGUGUGUGGGUCCCACGUGUGGCGAAGAGGUCCACGCGAAAUCUACCCCAGCGAGCGGUUUAUGCGAAGAAUUCAAAACUAAGGUCCGAAACCGAGGGGCGCCUCUCCUUCACUAUAGCUUAACACCGGGCUACCUAGCCUCCUGUUAGGUUCCAAACACAAUUGCAUUUUGUUUGCAGUAAUUAAAAUGUU
Meriones unguiculatus (Mongolian gerbil) is the source of this 851-nucleotide long non-coding RNA. RefSeq lists it as uncharacterized. The transcript has 4 exons. The record is from RefSeq and is a predicted model, not a curated record. Lineage: Eukaryota; Metazoa; Chordata; Mammalia; Rodentia; Muridae.